Molecule: ribosomal RNA, 283 nt
Filed under: uncultured Lachnospiraceae bacterium
Lineage: Bacteria; Bacillati; Bacillota; Clostridia; Lachnospirales; Lachnospiraceae
Description: partial 16S ribosomal RNA
Rfam family: Bacterial small subunit ribosomal RNA
Source: RNAcentral
UUAUUUGAUUUUCUUCGGAACUGAAGAUUUGGUGAUUGAGUGGCGGACGGGUGAGUAACGCGUGGGUAACCUGCCUCAUACAGGGGGAUAACAGUUAGAAAUGACUGCUAAUACCGCAUAAGCGCACGGAACCGCAUGGUUCUGUGUGAAAAACUCCGGUGGUAUGAGAUGGACCCGCGUCUGAUUAGCUGGUUGGUAAGGUAACGGCUUACCAAGGCGACGAUCAGUAGCCGACCUGAGAGGGUGACCGGCCACAUUGGGACUGAGACACGGCCCAAACUCC